Camellia sinensis is the source of this 103-nucleotide small nuclear RNA. The record is from RefSeq and is a predicted model, not a curated record. NCBI's taxonomy places the organism in Eukaryota, Viridiplantae, Streptophyta, Magnoliopsida, Ericales, Theaceae.
GGUCACUUCAGGAAAACCUGAUAAAAUUGAAUCACACAGUGAAGAUUAGCACAGGCCCCGUGCAAGGAUGACCCACACAAAUCAAGAAAUGGUCCUUGUACAU